This is a long non-coding RNA of Nanorana parkeri, 336 nucleotides long. RefSeq lists it as uncharacterized. NCBI's taxonomy places the organism in Eukaryota, Metazoa, Chordata, Amphibia, Anura, Dicroglossidae. The transcript has 3 exons. The record is from RefSeq and is a predicted model, not a curated record.
CCCGUCUUUUGUCUCCUAGUCCUUCACAAGCAGCCGCGGGAAGUGUGUCUUUGCCUCCUGGAGCUGGGCAGGAUAGCAGCGAGGUUUGGCGUGGAGCCGCCCGGUUUGAUAAAACUGGAAAAGGAGAUAGAACAGGAAGAAACGCUAUCGACCCCGACAACGCCGUCACCGUCCCCUUCCCCGACAAAGUCAUCGUCCGGAAAGAAGAGCGUCGGGAAACUCUUAGAUGACGCAGUGCAGCAUAUUUCUCAGGACCCUCCUUGUAAAUGCCCCAACAAGUUUUGUGUGGAACGCCUCUCUCAGGGGAGGUAUAAAGUGGGAGAGAAGAUCCUCUUC